RNAcentral lists this long non-coding RNA (1771 nucleotides) under Homo sapiens (human). Its description in RNAcentral is "HSALNT0210322". The record is from RNAcentral. Lineage: Eukaryota; Metazoa; Chordata; Mammalia; Primates; Hominidae.
AUCACAAAGACAGGAAGCCAAACACAGCAUGUUCUCCCUCAUAGAUGGUGUUAGAAGUGGGGUCUGAAGUAGAGCCUCUAUAAGAACCCCAGGAGUGCUGAGUGAACAAGCAAGGUAUCUGCUGGAGCUACUUGUGUCCUUUGAUCUCUCAGCAGCUGGAGAUCAUGGAGCUGAACUUCUGAUGUGUGGAUGGGAGGGGAGAUGGCAUAUGGCCUGGUGAAAUAGGAAUUCUUCAUUGUUUUUUCUAGCAUUCAUUUGGUUACUUCCAGUGUUUUAAAAUAAAAUAUUUGUCACAAACAAAUGAAAAAACAUUCCAUGCUCAUGGAUGGGAAGAAUCAAUAUCGUGAAAAUGGCCAUACUGCCCAAAGUAAUUUAUAGAUUCAAUGCUAUUCCCAUCAAGCUACCACUGACUUUCUUCACAGAAUUAGAAAAAACUACUUUAAAUUUCAUAUGGAAUCAAAAAAGAGCCUGUAUAACCAGGGCAAUCCUAAGCAAAAAGAACAAAGUUGGAGGCAUCACGCUACCUGACUUCAAACUAUACUACAAGGUUACAGUAACCAAAACAACAUGUUACUAGUACCAAAACAGACAUAUAGACCAAUGGAACAGAACAGAGUCCUCAGAAAUAACACCAUGCAUCUAUAGCCAUCUGAUCUUUGACAAAACUGACAAAAACAAGCAAUGGGGAAAGGAUUCCCUAUUUAAUAAAUGAUGUCGGGAAAACUGGCUAGCCAUAUGCAGAAAGCUGAAACUGGACCCCUUCUUUACACCUUAUACAAAAAUUGACUCAACAUGGAUUAAAGACUUAAACAUAAGACCUAAAACCAUGAAAACCCUGGAAGAAAGCCUAGGCAAUACCAUUCAGGAUACAGGCAUGGGCAAAGACUUCAUGACUAAAACACCAAAAGCAAUUGCAACAAAAGCCAAAACUGACAAAUGGGAUCUAAUUAAAUGAAAGAGCUUCUGCACAGCAAAAGAAACUAUCAUCAGAGUGAACAGGCAACCUACAGAAUGGGAGAAAAUUUUUGUAAUUUAUCCAUCUGACAAAGGUCUAAUAUCCAGAAUCUACAGAGAACUUAAACAAAUGUACAAGAAAAAACAAACAACCCCAUCAAAAAGUGGGGCAAAGGAUAAGAACAGACACUUAUCAGAAGAAGACAUUUAUGCAGCCAACAAACAUAUGAAAUAAAGCUCAUCAUCACUGCUCAUUAGAGAAAUGCAAAUCAAAAUUGCAAUGAGAUACCGUCUCACGCCAGUUAGAAUGGCUAUCAUUAAAAAGCCAGGAAACAACAGAUGCUGGAGAGGAUGUUGAGAAAUAGAAGUGCUUUUACACUGUUGAUGGGAGUGUAAAUUAGUUCAACCAUUGUGGAAGACAGUGUGGCGAUUCCUCAAGGAUCUAGAACCAGAAAUACCAUUUGACCCAGCAAUCCCAUUACUGGGUAUAUACCCAAAGGGUUAUAAAUCAUUCUACUAUAAAGACAUACACACACAUAAGUUUAUUGCAGCACUAUUCACAAUAGCAGACUUGGAACCAAUCCAAAUGCCCAUCAGUGAUACACUGGAUAAAGAAAAUGUGGCACAUAUACACCAUGGAAUACUAUGCAGCCAUAAAAAUGAUGAGUUCAUGUCCUUUGCAGGGACAUGGAUGAAGCUGGAAACCAUCAUUCUCAGCAAACUAACACAGGAACAGAAAACCAAACACUGCAUGUUCUCACUCAUAAGUAGGAGUUGAACAAUGAGAACACAUGGACGCAGGGAGGGGAACGUCACA